This 1372-nucleotide ribosomal RNA is filed under the name uncultured bacterium. RNAcentral describes it as "bacterial SSU rRNA". It matches the Rfam family "Bacterial small subunit ribosomal RNA", at positions 28 to 1381 of the family's 1533-position model. The record is from RNAcentral.
GAUGAACGCUGGCGGCGUGCCUAAUACAUGCAAGUCGAGCGAACGGACGAGAAGCUUGCUUCUCUGAUGUUAGCGGCGGACGGGUGAGUAACACGUGGAUAACCUACCUAUAAGACUGGGAUAACUUCGGGAAACCGGAGCUAAUACCGGAUAAUAUUUUGAACCGCAUGGUUCAAAAGUGAAAGACGGUCUUGCUGUCACUUAUAGAUGGAUCCGCGCUGCAUUAGCUAGUUGGUAAGGUAACGGCUUACCAAGGCAACGAUGCAUAGCCGACCUGAGAGGGUGAUCGGCCACACUGGAACUGAGACACGGUCCAGACUCCUACGGGAGGCAGCAGUAGGGAAUCUUCCGCAAUGGGCGAAAGCCUGACGGAGCAACGCCGCGUGAGUGAUGAAGGUCUUCGGAUCGUAAAACUCUGUUAUUAGGGAAGAACAUAUGUGUAAGUAACUGUGCACAUCUUGACGGUACCUAAUCAGAAAGCCACGGCUAACUACGUGCCAGCAGCCGCGGUAAUACGUAGGUGGCAAGCGUUAUCCGGAAUUAUUGGGCGUAAAGCGCGCGUAGGCGGUUUUUUAAGUCUGAUGUGAAAGCCCACAGCUCAACCGUGGAGGGUCAUUGGAAACUGGAAAACUUGAGUGCAGAAGAGGAAAGUGGAAUUCCAUGUGUAGCGGUGAAAUGCGCAGAGAUAUGGAGGAACACCAGUGGCGAAGGCGACUUUCUGGUCUGUAACUGACGCUGAUGUGCGAAAGCGUGGGGAUCAAACAGGAUUAGAUACCCUGGUAGUCCACGCCGUAAACGAUGAGUGCUAAGUGUUAGGGGGUUUCCGCCCCUUAGUGCUGCAGCUAACGCAUUAAGCACUCCGCCUGGGGAGUACGACCGCAAGGUUGAAACUCAAAGGAAUUGACGGGGACCCGCACAAGCGGUGGAGCAUGUGGUUUAAUUCGAAGCAACGCGAAGAACCUUACCAAAUCUUGACAUCCUUUGACAACUCUAGAGAUAGAGCCUUCCCCUUCGGGGGACAAAGUGACAGGUGGUGCAUGGUUGUCGUCAGCUCGUGUCGUGAGAUGUUGGGUUAAGUCCCGCAACGAGCGCAACCCUUAAGCUUAGUUGCCAUCAUUAAGUUGGGCACUCUAAGUUGACUGCCGGUGACAAACCGGAGGAAGGUGGGGAUGACGUCAAAUCAUCAUGCCCCUUAUGAUUUGGGCUACACACGUGCUACAAUGGACAAUACAAAGGGCAGCGAAACCGCGAGGUCAAGCAAAUCCCAUAAAGUUGUUCUCAGUUCGGAUUGUAGUCUGCAACUCGACUACAUGAAGCUGGAAUCGCUAGUAAUCGUAGAUCAGCAUGCUACGGUGAAUACGUUCCCGGGUCU